UUACCUUUUUGCGUGAUACGCCACCUGACCUUGCAUUGCAUGAGAAACCGACGCCACUUCCGAAACAACCUAAAAAAUUAAUCAAAUAAAAUAAAGAAAGAAAAUCGUUGCCGAGUCCGAGAAGAGAAGAAAGAAUCGAGAGAAAUGGUGUCGGAUUCGGACCUCGUGGCCCGGCUCCGUGAAAUACUCCGGAGUUCGGACUUAGACACGGCCACUGCCAGCAGUAUACGGCGGCAGUUAGAGGAGGAUUUCGGCGUUGAUUUAUCGGAGAAAAAAAAGUUUAUUAGAGAGCAAAUUGAUACUUUUCUUGAAACCCUAAAUAAAGGAGAUGGUCAGUCAUGGAAUGUGACAGAAAAUGAAGAUAACGAAAACGACACCGUUGAAGACGAUGAAAAUGAAAACGACGGUAUUAAAGAAGAAGAAGAAGAAGAUAGUGAGACAAAGGAAAGCAAGGGGUCAGACAAGACAGAAAAGGUGAGGAAAAGAGGCGGUUUUGCUAAGUUAAGUAGCUUAUCUCCGCAACUUCAAGCAGUUGUUGGAGUGCCUGAAUUGGCCAGAACUGAGGUUGUGAAAAAACUUUGGGCCUAUAUCCGUGAAAACAAUUUGCAGGAUCCAAAGAAUAGGAAAAAAAUAAAAUGUGAUGAGGCAUUGCGCGCUGUCUUUCAUGUAAAUUCAAUUGAUAUGUUUCAAAUGAAUAAAGCCCUGUCCAAGCAUAUCUGGCCAUUAACUGGAGAAAAUGAAAGUGUAAAGCAAAAAGAAAAAAGCAAAGACAUUAACGAUUCUGGGUCUGAAGGAGACAAUGGAGGGGAACAAGAGGAUGACGAGGAAGAGGUAAAGAAAGAGAGUAAUGAAAGAAGCAAGAAAGGACGGUCAGCUAAGGUGGAUGAGGAUGUUAAGAAAAGAGGAGGUGGUUUUACUAAAUUGUGCAGUCUUUCUCCUCAACUUCAAGAGCUUGUCGGAGUUCCAGAACUGGCCAGAACUGGGGUUGUGAAGAAGCUUUGGGCCUAUAUCCGGGAGAAGAACUUGCAAGAUCCAAAGAAUAAGCGAAACAUAAUAUGUGAUGAAUCAUUGCGUUCUAUUUUCGAUGUUGAUUCUAUUGACAUGUUUCAAAUGAAUAAAGCGUUGACUAAACACAUAUGGGCUGUCCGUGAGGAAGAUGCUCCAAGCAACUCUUCACCAAAGAAAAAGGGGACUAAACAAGGAAGAGAAGAAGGUCCUGAUGAACCUAAACAGAAAGAAAAGCGGCAGAAGAAAGUUCCUCAUGAACCUAAAAAGAAAGAAAAGCAGCAGAAGAAAGAAAUCUAGCCCUGAUUUGGUCACCACCAAGAUAAGGAAAGACCAACUUUGCUACGAAUUGUGAAAUGCACCCUUACAACAAUCAGAGUGCCGGUAACUUGGAGAUCUUCAGGAUCUGAAUUGCAAGGCAUGAAUACAUACAAGUGCAAUGCACCUCCUUUUCAAAAAGAGAAAACAAUGAUCUUUCGGUGCCAAUUUUUUUAUUUAUCCGCAAUCAUAUGGUGUGUUAAUGAAUAGUGAGGAAAAGAUAGCUGAAGCUAAUUUAUAAAUGCAAAUCACAUCUUAAGAGGUUGAAUUUCAAUGUUUUUUAUCUGAAGUUGGUCCGCUGAGAUGGUACUGAUGAAUUUAAACUUCUUGGCCGAAGACACUUCCAGUCAUAACUGGGCCUGCCUCCCUUCUGCUACUAGCAAACAUAACACGUCCUUUUGAAGUAUGGUUAUGCUUAAUUUUCAUGACCCUGCUAAGCCCUGGACCUUUUUUUCGGGUUUUUCCUUAUGAUAAUCUCUGGCUGUAUCAUAUUGAUGCAUUUGGAUCCAGCUGACAAGAGGAGAAUUGUUUGCGACAAGAAGCUAAAAGAAAUAUCUGAGGUUGACUCCUUCAAUGGCUUCACAGCCUCAAAGCUCCUGUCAUUGCAUUUUAUCAAGACAGAGCAGUGAGUGGCAUAUAUGUACUUAACUUGAGCCCAUUAGAAGUGGGAAUUUUGCUUGAGAUGAAUUUACUCUUUUACAUUUUGCUCUGGCAGCCUGGUGCUCCUUGUUGAAGAAAUGGAAAUAGUUUUGCAAAAUACAAGUUCUUUCUACUAAUUUUCAUCA
Molecule: RNA transcript, 2108 nt
Organism: Populus trichocarpa (black cottonwood)
Lineage: Eukaryota; Viridiplantae; Streptophyta; Magnoliopsida; Malpighiales; Salicaceae
Gene name: protein TRI1
Exons: 11
Source: RefSeq, a predicted model, not a curated record